AGGAAGCGUGUGCACAGCCCAGAGGGAGAGGGGGAAACCACUCAGGAAAUAUUGACCUGGAGCACUUAGAAUUCAAGGUCAUGGUUCCACUUCUUGUCUGCCACUGCAGAGCAAUGGAGAGGCUCUGCAGGCGGAGUGUUUGGUCUUACUGGGUACAAAAAUGGGGACCAGCUCCUACAAGGGGCCCCUGACAAGAAAACUGGAACCAGAAAGGCAAAGAACUGGACUCAAGUCACACAACUGGCAAGAUAUGGCGCCAUCUUGGUUCCGGAACCCACAUCUUUACAAAAUACCACAUAUCUAUCUAAAGGAGCACCUCCCCCAUUUUCUGACUUAGAUCUAUAUUUUUGAUGAAAAUAUAUAUUCCUGAUAUAAAUCUGUGUCUUAUAGCCACAUGCCUUAAGUUGGAAUAACUAACUCCCUUCCUUUACCCACUGGGCUUUGGGGCAGGAGGAAGCCAUUGUUUCAUGUGUAAGAACUUGAAGCAUGUUAAUACGUUUUAGUAACUCUGAAAAAUAGUGUAGGUUUGGGUCUUUAAAGAGAGAAUGUAUUUUGUACACUGGGUCCUUUUAAUCCAGAGAAUCCAUUACCUCGAUACUACCCACAAUCCAAAAAACCAUGGAAUGAGCUUGGUAAACUGUGACCACAUCAGUUUUGCUUCUAGGCAUUCAGUGGCCACCCAUAAUCUUCCAUAUAAACCUGCUGUGCUUAAAAUGGCACAUGAGAACAUGGACAUGGCAUGUGAGAAUCUUGUUCAUCUGGCCCUGGUCUGCAUCUCCAGCCUUACCUCUCUCCAUCCCACCUGGUGUUCUGUAGCUGGCCACAGAGAACACCCUAGCAAUCCUGUGGAAUGGACCACCUCUCCCAGGGCUAUUUCCUUUGAGCACUUUCUCUCUUCACCACUCCAUGGCCUCACAAAGCAGCUAAAACGAUCACUCUGACACAACCAUAUGAUCUUGUCACUGUCUGGUUUAAAACCCUUUGAUGAUUUUCCAUGAUGCAUACAAUAAAAUUCAAAUUUGAAACCAUA
This is a long non-coding RNA of Marmota flaviventris (yellow-bellied marmot), 1030 nucleotides long. RefSeq lists it as uncharacterized. The record is from RefSeq and is a predicted model, not a curated record. Lineage: Eukaryota; Metazoa; Chordata; Mammalia; Rodentia; Sciuridae.